This is a long non-coding RNA of Gasterosteus aculeatus aculeatus (three-spined stickleback), 1235 nucleotides long. Lineage: Eukaryota; Metazoa; Chordata; Actinopteri; Perciformes; Gasterosteidae. The record is from Ensembl.
GUAAACGGAGGGUCCCUUUGAUAAAGAAUAAGUGACAGUGACUAACACGCAAAGAUAUGCUGCGUAUUAUGAGGUAAAUAUUAAAUCGCAUAUUCAGGGAAUCGUGAGACUGAUUUCAUCAGCAUCCUUUCAGAAGAAUCUCAGUGAAGAUGAAAAGAUUCUGGAAGCUGCUAUUACUGUUAUUAUGAUUACUAUUAUUAUUAUGAGGUCAAUGAUGAUAAAUGUAGGUCCGGUUGACUUUGGAUGGUAUGAAAUAAUUAGACUCUUGAGUUCUCAUCAUGAGAGUGAGAAUAAAAGAAUCCAGAGACUCGACCAGGAGUACAAGUCUUUCUAUUUCUGUUUAGUUCUCUGCUGUCGCCCUCUGCUGGUUCCAAAGAGACUCUGGGGGCAAAUCAGCUGUUAAUCCCUGCAGGGAGUCCAUUCAUACAGUUUACUUAAAGUUACUGUGAGUCAGUUCACUUCAUUUCACAGGAACUAUUUUCUACAACGAGUGUCUCCGGUCGGCAGCCAUGACGUCACGAGAUGAACACGUGGUGUGAUUAAUUACGUCACGUCAGCCUGGCUGCUCUGUGCACAGGGGCGACUACUCCGUCCCCGCGAUGCACGCCGGUGGGAUUUGUGUCCGACCUGCUCUGACAUCACGCAGUGCAUGAUGGGAAACACCUGCUCGACGCCUGACCUCUGCACACUGAUUCAGACGGUUCAACGUGCAGCACGAAAGGUGGACUGAAGACAUUUCUACGGCUGAAUUCUGAGGGAAUGGGGAUUAAAAACGUACUUUUACCUUCAGGGCUGGUGACUUUUAUUCCCGUGCAUCAUUUAGUUUCCUUGCGACCUUUCAAAGACAGAGACCCCAGAUCUCGUUAAUUACCUGACUGUUUGAAGAGGCUUCAUAUCUCUGCAUACAUGACGAACACGUCCCUGCUGCGUGCAUCGCCUCGGAAGGAAACAGAAGGUCACGUGAAUUUGAUCAAAGGUCACGCUGGUAAUGUAAGUUUUAUUUUUACUUUUCAGCUUUUUUGCAUCAAACACAAGACUUUUUUUUCUUCAACUUUCUGAUCACUUUUUAUGUCUUGUUUUAUUUGACCUAUUUGUUUUCUUCAUCCUUUUGUUACUGCAUUCUUUUGAGAUGUCUGUUAUUAACCGGGUGCUACUGCAGGACUUUAAUUAAGGUGACCCGAUGAUUUAGACAAAAUAAAUUAUAAUUCGAUUGCUUAAUACUUUGUAUGCUUUCU